GAUGAACGCUGGCGGCGUGCCUAAUACAUGCAAGUCGAGCGAGCAGAUAAGGAGCUUGCUCCUUUGACGUUAGCGGCGGACGGGUGAGUAACACGUGGGUAACCUACCUAUAAGACUGGGAUAACUUCGGGAAACCGGAGCUAAUACCGGAUAACAUUUGGAACCGCAUGGUUCUAAAGUGAAAGAUGGUUUUGCUAUCACUUAUAGAUGGACCCGCGCCGUAUUAGCUAGUUGGUAAGGUAACGGCUUACCAAGGCAACGAUACGUAGCCGACCUGAGAGGGUGAUCGGCCACACUGGAACUGAGACACGGUCCAGACUCCUACGGGAGGCAGCAGUAGGGAAUCUUCCGCAAUGGGCGAAAGCCUGACGGAGCAACGCCGCGUGAGUGAUGAAGGGUUUCGGCUCGUAAAACUCUGUUAUUAGGGAAGAACAAAUGUGUAAGUAACUGUGCACGUCUUGACGGUACCUAAUCAGAAAGCCACGGCUAACUACGUG
This 497-nucleotide ribosomal RNA is filed under the name uncultured bacterium. RNAcentral describes it as "partial 16S ribosomal RNA". It matches the Rfam family "Bacterial small subunit ribosomal RNA", at positions 28 to 507 of the family's 1533-position model. The record is from RNAcentral.